UACGUAGGGUGCAGGCGUUAAUCGGAAUUACUGGGCGUAAAGCGUGCGCAGGCGGUUUGCUAAGACAGGCGUGAAAUCCCCGGGCUUAACCUGGGAACUGCGCUUGUUACUGGCAAGCUAGAGUGUGGCAGAGGGGGGUGGAAUUCCACGUGUAGCAGUGAAAUGCGUAGAUAUCAAGCGGAACACCGGUGGCGAAGGCGGCCUUCUGGACGAUGACUGACGCUGAGACGCGAAAGCGUGGGGAGCAAACAGG
RNAcentral lists this ribosomal RNA (253 nucleotides) under uncultured bacterium. Its description in RNAcentral is "partial 16S ribosomal RNA". It matches the Rfam family "Bacterial small subunit ribosomal RNA", at positions 524 to 776 of the family's 1533-position model. The record is from RNAcentral.